RNAcentral lists this ribosomal RNA (459 nucleotides) under uncultured bacterium. RNAcentral describes it as "partial 16S ribosomal RNA". It matches the Rfam family "Bacterial small subunit ribosomal RNA", at positions 338 to 795 of the family's 1533-position model. The record is from RNAcentral.
CCUACGGGUGGCAGCAGUGAGGAAUAUUGGUCAAUGGGCGCGAGCCUGAACCAGCCAAGUCGCGUGAGGGAAGACGGUCCUAUGGAUUGUAAACCUCUUUUGUCGGGGAGCAAAAGACGCCACGCGUGGCGUUACGAGAGUACCCGAAGAAAAAGCAUCGGCUAACUCCGUGCCAGCAGCCGCGGUAAUACGGAGGAUGCGAGCGUUAUCCGGAUUUAUUGGGUUUAAAGGGUGCGCAGGCGGAAGGUCAAGUCAGCGGUAAAAUUGCGAGGCUCAACCCCUUCGAGCCGUUGAAACUGGUUUUCUUGAGUGAGUGAGAAGUAUGCGGAAUGCGUGGUGUAGCGGUGAAAUGCAUAGAUAUCACGCAGAACUCCGAUUGCGAAGGCAGCAUGCCGGCGCUCAACUGACGCUCAUGCACGAAAGUGUGGGUAUCGAACAGGAUUAGAUACCCGGGUAGUC